Molecule: long non-coding RNA, 218 nt
Filed under: Elaeis guineensis (African oil palm)
Lineage: Eukaryota; Viridiplantae; Streptophyta; Magnoliopsida; Arecales; Arecaceae
Description: long non-coding RNA (EGUI_LNC025158)
Source: RNAcentral
GGCGACUGGGUUUAGGACGAAAAAUUAUUGCCCGACGGUGGUCUAGAUAGACCAUCCAGAUCCCACGGUGGAUAACACACCACAUCAUCCAUUACAUAUCACGAAUUCUCGAUUGCUCGUUAUCCACCGUGCAUUUGCUCCAAGAUGUGCGCUGAUCUGGUCGGGCGUGGUCCGGACAAUAAUUUUUCGAUUUAGACAGGGACAAGAGAGGGAUGGUU